Long non-coding RNA from Pungitius pungitius (ninespine stickleback), 1920 nucleotides. RefSeq lists it as uncharacterized. Lineage: Eukaryota; Metazoa; Chordata; Actinopteri; Perciformes; Gasterosteidae. The record is from RefSeq and is a predicted model, not a curated record. The transcript has 2 exons.
CAGGUUUGGAUCAAAAACGAAAAAUUGCCUCCAUUGCGCCCCCUGGAAGAUUUUGACGAAGCCCCGCCCGCACCCUGUUUGACCGACAAGUCCGCUGAUUUUUUACCAUAUGUAUUAACGGGAGACUUAAAAAAGUCUCUGAGGAAUUUUCUCUAAGACAAACAGGAAGGCAGUUAUAAUUUUUUUAGUGUGACUAUUCCCUGUAUUUUUGCAGGGGAGUGACGAAUCCUAUAUCAGUGACAUUUCGACUUCUCAAAACCAUCAGAGGGUUUAGCUCUCCUGGUAAGCACCCGCCCCCCGAUGCUAUGGUCGUGAGUUCGUGUCCCGGUGAAAACACUUUUUUUUUCUCCUCUUUUUAAACGCGUGUCUUCUGAUCUAACGAACGAAAUGAUUCAGUUUACUCUCCUUGCUGAGGUUAUUAAAUAACUGUACACUUAGAGCAGGGGUGUUAAACUAUUUUGAGGUUAGGGCCACAUACGGCUCCGUGGCACAUGAACGGAAUGAUACAUAGGACUGAUGCGCUCUGCACUCAGCUGGCGGACGGCUGAGUGCGAGUAACAACACAUCUAAACUGGAAAGAUAACACGGACAGUUCAAUCUAAAUACAUCUGGAUUUAAAUAGACGUAUUCUGCAACAUACGGGUGGAGAUGCAAACACGUUUUGUGAUGUUACUAGAUGUUACGGGUUACUGUUAAGGUAUAGAACUUCAUUACCCAGCAUUCCCUAGCACGUAGUCUCGCGUGAGUUCAUGCUGUUGUCGCGAGAGUUUGCCAUUGAAGCCCCGGCGUUGAACAGCUGCAGCUCGUAUCCAGUCCGUAUUUUAUAUUUUAAACUGCUAACUACACACCUAUGCUUAAAUCCAAACGGACUAAACCAAGUGGAAACGCUUUGGUAGGUCUCCCUGCUGCCGCCAUUCGACCACUGCAGCUCAUCCAGAAUGCAGCAGCUCGACUGGUCUUCAACCUUCCGAAAUACUCCCACACCACUUCUCCGCUCUCUUCAUUGGUUACGAGUGGCUGCCCGCAUCCAGUUCAAAGCAUUGUGACUGACGUACCACGCUGUGAAUGGAUCGGGACCAGUCUACAUCUAGGACAUGGUGAAACCCUACAUCCCAACCCGCACACUCCGAUCUGCAUCUGCCAAGCGGCUUGUUCCUCCCUCACUGAGAGAAAAACACUCGGCGAGAUGGCGACUCUUUGCUGUCCUGCUCCCAGAUGGUGGAACGAGCUCUCCGAUGACAUCAGGACUGCAGAGAGCCUCUACAUCUUCCGUCGAAAACUCAAGACACACCUUUUUAGACUCUACCUCGACUAAAACACUAGCAAACCGUAGCACUAACAAAUGGUAGCACUUAAAUUGUACUUAUAAUGGCACUUUUCUCUAACAUGUUUUGAAACUGCCUAUUUGAUGAAAAUGUACUUUCUUGUUACUUGUUCAUCUGAGUUUGCAUCUCUAUGUGGAAAUGCACUUAUUGUACGUCGCUUUGGAUAAAAGCGUCAGCACUUAUUCAAGAAGACUCCUCAUGUGACUUAAGAUGUGUUUAAUGAAUCCAGAAUGUUAUAUUUGUUCAGUAUGCAGGGGCAGUGAUUUAUUUAGUCAUAUUUUGUUUUUUUUUACAUGACAAUAUGGUUUGGUACAUGCUGAGUUAAUGAAUAUACAUUCUAAAGUGCAAUGUCCAUAUGUGAAUGAGUUGUAUACUUUUAUCAUAGUCAACAUGGUACGGAAAUAUCCCUUAUGUAGUUGGUCAAUAGGAACUAUAAUAGGCAGUAUUAACAGCUAAGUUAAUUACGGGUGGAUAUUUCUGUGAAUUAACCUUGAUUGAGACUGCGUCUAUAAGAUAUACAGGACAAGAAAAAUGCACUGGAUGUAAACUGUACGUGUGUUGAAUCAAUUAUACGGACGCAAACUGGAGAACGAGA